Molecule: unclassified non-coding RNA, 197 nt
Filed under: plant metagenome
Description: partial contains small subunit ribosomal RNA and internal transcribed spacer 1
Rfam family: Eukaryotic small subunit ribosomal RNA (bases 1-46)
Source: RNAcentral
AAGUCGUAACAAGGUCUCCGUAGGUGAACCUGCGGAGGGAUCAUUGAAGAGUUAGGGCCUCCGGCCCGACCUCCAACCCUUUGCACUUGGUACCAUGUUGCCUCGGGGGCGACCCGGCCUUCGGGCGCUGGGGCCCCGCUGGACUGACCUAACUACUGUCAUCUUUGCGUCUGAGUACAUUUGAAAAUAAAUCAAAA